CCUACGGGGGGCAGCAGUGGGGAAUAUUGCACAAUGGGGGAAACCCUGAUGCAGCGACGCCGCGUGAGCGAAGAAGUAUUUCGGUAUGUAAAGCUCUAUCAGCAGGGAAGAAAAUGACGGUACCUGACUAAGAAGCUCCGGCUAAAUACGUGCCAGCAGCCGCGGUAAUACGUAUGGAGCAAGCGUUAUCCGGAUUUACUGGGUGUAAAGGGAGCGCAGGCGGUCCGGCAAGUCUGAUGUGAAAGGCGGGGGCUCAACCCCCGGACUGCAUUGGAAACUGUCGGGCUGGAGUGUCGGAGGGGCAGGCGGAAUUCCUAGUGUAGCGGUGAAAUGCGUAGAUAUUAGGAGGAACACCGGUGGCGAAGGCGGCCUGCUGGACGACAACUGACGCUGAGGCUCGAAAGCGUGGGGAGCAAACAGGAUUAGAUACCC
RNAcentral lists this ribosomal RNA (432 nucleotides) under uncultured bacterium. Its description in RNAcentral is "bacterial SSU rRNA". It matches the Rfam family "Bacterial small subunit ribosomal RNA", at positions 338 to 787 of the family's 1533-position model. The record is from RNAcentral.